GACUUGGUGGUGAAGCGGUUAACACGCCGGACUUUCGCUCCGGUAUUACGCGGGUUCAAAUCCCGUCCAAGUCGCCA
This 77-nucleotide transfer RNA is filed under the name Spiroplasma sp. Its description in RNAcentral is "tRNA-Glu". It matches the Rfam family "tRNA". From Rfam's summary of the family: Transfer RNA (tRNA) molecules are approximately 80 nucleotides in length. Their secondary structure includes four short double-helical elements and three loops (D, anti-codon, and T loops). Lineage: Bacteria; Bacillati; Mycoplasmatota; Mollicutes; Entomoplasmatales; Spiroplasmataceae. The record is from RNAcentral.